This 1185-nucleotide ribosomal RNA is filed under the name Triticum aestivum (bread wheat). RNAcentral describes it as "partial small subunit ribosomal RNA". The record is from RNAcentral. Lineage: Eukaryota; Viridiplantae; Streptophyta; Magnoliopsida; Poales; Poaceae.
AUGCUGCCACUGUACUCAACAUUGUCUGUAUGUUUCCUGGCAUGUCAUAUUGCCCGGGAAGCCAUCCUACCGACUGACAUCUAUAGGUGGGCAAUGGAGGGUAAGCUUCCUUAUAUGGCAGCAUUUACCGAAGUGGACAGGCUUCUUGGGAGCUCUGUAAAACACUGCCCUUUGAGUGCAAGACAACUAUUCAGACCAGUCCGAGUGAUUGGAACAUGGCAACUGGAAGCUGCAGCUGGGUCCAUUGCACAACGAAUAGGAUUGCAGCUUCCUUCAGUUAAUUUCUAUGCUAUUGCUCAAUGCUACUUGAAUGAGUUGUCUCUGCCGAUAGAAAGAAUCCUCCCUCAUGCUUGCCGCAUCUAUGAGUGGGCAUUGCCUGCAGAACUAUGGUUGUCUAGUAAUCCAUUAAGGGUCCCCACACGGGUCUGUGUAAUGGCUAUACUAAUAGUGGCUCUAAGAGUUCAGUAUAACAUCCAUGGUCAAGGGAUAUGGGAGGAGAUUUGUGAGACAGGAAGAAAUGCAGAUGGGUCUGAUCCUGAUGAGAAUUUACCACCAUCUAUGAGGCCUGAAGGCGGCACUAGUGAGGAAUUUGGCACAAGGGAAUUGCUAUGCACUCUUGCAAGUGCCUAUGAUAAAAUUGAUGUUGCGCAUGACUAUUCAAAGGACCUUCACUCUUAUCUCAAGUACUGCAAAGAUAUUGUUUUCCCUGGGAUUGCAUGUUCAAUUGAAGAGGAUCACUUAAUAGAGAUCUUUCAGGAUAUGUACAAAGGACGAGAGGAUGGGAAUCCAAAAGCUCGCAUGGAGGAAACGCAAACCACGAAUGGAGUGAUGAAUAAACGAUGUCGGGAUGGAACUUCUGUUGGUGCAAGGAGCAUUUCUGCAUCAUCAUCAGGGAUCCAAAGGAUCAAGUCGGAAAUGGAAGAUCAUGGGUUUUGUUAUCUGCCGCCAAGGAAGUUGCUUAGAUCAAAUGGCUACCUUCACUAUAGAAGGAAGACAAUAACCGGUAGUCUUGUUUGCAUCGGACAUGCUGAUUAUUACGUGCUGAUACGCUCAUUUGCAAAGCUUGCAGAAGUUGAUGUUAGGGUUCUGCAUACCAGUGUGCUAAAACUUGAGAGGAGACUUGCCUGGAUAGACGAGCGGAUAGGCAGAAGCUUGGAUGCCUUGCAGAAUCCACCUAUUAGCUAA